UUUUAAUGAUUUUGGCAGUAAUAACUGUUGUUAGAAGAAAACCCAACCUAAACCUAAUUGCAAAUCGCAGAGGAGAGCGUGAGCAACGAGCUUCUCCUCCAGUGGCUUCUUCUCCUCUAUUGAUGCGAGCUUCUCCUCUAUUAUUGUGAGCUUCUCUGCCAUUGAUGCGAGCUUCUCCUCUAUCGAACUUCUGCGCUCUAUGUUGUGUGAGCUUCUUACCCUAGCUCGUCUUCUCCGUGUCCGUUCUCACUUUUAGAAUUCAAAAACGACAUCGCCGCUGCUCUGCGAGCUUCUCCUCCAUCAAUGAUUCUUCCCCUCCAUCGGUGUCAUGUCCAUCAAUGCUUCUCCUCUGAUGGUACAUUUGCUUCCAUUGAUGCGAUUUGCUAGGUUUUGAUUUUCUUCCUUGUUCAAUUUAUUUUUAGGAUUGCACGUUAAUAUUUAGAUAGAAUAUUGAAACAAAAAGACAAGUUGAAGAAACACAGUGCACCGGGAGAUUCCAGAAAGGAAGCUCAAGCAGCGCUGCUCAUAUUGCUGCAAUCAUUCAGUACUUUAUCAUCGGUGGAGGUAGCAAAGCAAGAACUGCUGGAAAUUCAGGAAGGAAAAAGUAACCUCAAGGCUAAGGAGCCACUUCUUCAAUGCAUUCAUGCUUACAGGGAGGGAGCAAGAUGACUACGAGGUUGUGAGGAAGGUGGGAAGAGGGAAAUACAAUGAGGUCUUUGAUCUGAGGGCGUUCACUCCACCGAUAAUGAAAAAUGCAUCAUCAAGAUCCUCAAAUCCGUCAAGAAGAAAAAGAUGUCGCAGAGUCAGAGUAAGAAACUGAUGCCGAAUCUGGAUAGGCAGAGCACCAAGGUGCUGAAUCUCACUGUCCUCCAGCGCUUCAAUCCCUUCAUCGCCGAGAUUCUUUUCACCGCCGCUCAUGUCUCUUUCUACGAAUUCAACAUUGAAACUAAUCAGUGGACUCGUAAGGACGUCGAAGGAUCUCUAUUUGUUGUCAAGAGGAAUGUGUAGCCUCAGUUUCAGUUCAUUGUCAUGAAUCGACAAAAUACAGACAACCUAGUAGAAAAUCUAUUGGAUUUUGAGUAUGAACUUAAGAAGCCAUACCUAUUAUAUCGGAAUGCGGCUCAAGAAGUUAAUGGUAUAUGGUUUUACAAUGAAGAUGAAUGUGAAGAAGACAGCAUCUUAAAUGGUUUUGCGGUCAUUUUGAUCUUUCACCUCUGUCACCGGAUAUGGUUUAGUAUGGGUAUAGAAAAAGAAGCUGAGGCUAAAAUACAAGGGGCAGUGAAGCUUUUAAAGUUCACUGGUUGUUCCAAAUUUCCAUUUUCAUUGUAGUCGCAGAAACAGAAAACCAAACAAUCAUCAAUCUUCAACCCUUUUGCAGAGAGAAAAAGGGUUUAGGACUGUGGAGUGUGUCACUGCUCAUUCUGGCUCUCCUGAACGAUGUAAUACCUCUAAAAUACAACACAAUUUGAAGUCAAUUUCAAGUUUAGAGUCACCUUAAGUUGAGUGUUGGAGCAAGAAACAAAGAUGUUGGAGCAAGUUCCUGGGAUGAAACUCACACAAGAGACCAAGAAACUAAGGCAGGCUUGUUUUAAAGUUAAUUACAAAAGGAGGAAAUUUUUGGCCUCCAAAUCUUAUUCAUCAUCACUUAGCUAAGCUACUUGUCUUGUAUUAGAUGAAAAAGACAGCACUUAUUAGAUGGUUUAAAUACAUUAUUAGACAUUAACAUAUUUUAGGGAACUGGAAGGGGUAGAUUUGACUGAUUAGUGUUUAUUGCAAUGUUUGUAUUUUGGCAAGUUUAGUAAGACAAGGUUUUGUAUAGGAGUUAUUACUUUUGAUUUUCAAUAAUAAAAA
Arachis ipaensis is the source of this 1851-nucleotide non-coding RNA. The record is from RefSeq and is a predicted model, not a curated record. NCBI's taxonomy places the organism in Eukaryota, Viridiplantae, Streptophyta, Magnoliopsida, Fabales, Fabaceae.